UUGUAGGCUGCAACUCGCCUACAUGAAGUCGGAAUUGCUAGUAAUCGCGGAUCAGCAUGCCGCGGUGAAUACGUUCCCGGGCCUUGUACACACCGCCCGUCACACCAUGGGAGUCGGUAACACCCGAAGCCUGUAGUCUAACCGCAAGGAGGACGCAGUCGAAGGUGGGAUUGAUGACUGGGGUGAAGUCGUAACAAGGUAAC
RNAcentral lists this ribosomal RNA (203 nucleotides) under uncultured bacterium. RNAcentral describes it as "partial 16S ribosomal RNA". It matches the Rfam family "Bacterial small subunit ribosomal RNA", at positions 1298 to 1500 of the family's 1533-position model. The record is from RNAcentral.